CUACGGGGCGCACCAGUGAGGAAUAUUGCACAAUGGGGGGAACCCUGAUGCAGCAACGCCGCGUGGAGGAUGACGCAUUUCGGUGUGUAAACUCCUUUUAUAUGUCAAGAAAAUGACGGUAGCAUAUGAAUAAGCACCGGCUAACUCCGUGCCAGCAGCCGCGGUAAUAAGGAGGGUGCAAGCGUUACUCGGAAUCACUGGGCGUAAAGGACGCGUAGGCGGGUUGGAAAGUCAGGUGUGAAAUCCUACAGCUUAACUGUAGAACUGCACUUGAAACUUCUAAUCUAGAGUAUGGGAGGGGGAGAUGGAAUUAGUGGUGUAGGGGUAAAAUCCGUAGAUAUCACUAGGAAUACCUAAAGCGAAGGCGAUCUCCUGGAACAUUACUGACGCUAAGGCGUGAAAGCGUGGGGAGCAAACAGGAUUAGAUACCCCAGUAGUC
Molecule: ribosomal RNA, 439 nt
Filed under: uncultured bacterium
Lineage: Bacteria
Description: partial 16S ribosomal RNA
Rfam family: Bacterial small subunit ribosomal RNA
Source: RNAcentral